AUGAACGCUGGCGGCGUGCCUAAUACAUGCAAGUCGAGCGAACGGACGAGAAGCUUGCUUCUCUGAUGUUAGCGGCGGACGGGUGAGUAACACGUGGAUAACCUACCUAUAAGACUGGGAUAACUUCGGGAAACCGGAGCUAAUACCGGAUGAUAUUUUGAACCGCAUGGUUCAAAAGUGAAAGACGGUCUUGCUGUCACUUAUAGAUGGAUCCGCGCUGCAUUAGCUAGUUGGUAAGGUAACGGCUUACCAAGGCAACGAUGCAUAGCCGACCUGAGAGGGUGAUCGGCCACACUGGAACUGAGACACGGUCCAGACUCCUACGGGAGGCAGCAGUAGGGAAUCUUCCGCAAUGGGCGAAAGCCUGACGGAGCAACGCCGCGUGAGUGAUGAAGGUCUUCGGAUCGUAAAACUCUGUUAUUAGGGAAGAUCAUAUGUGUAAGUAACUGUGCACAUCUUGACGGUACCUAAUCAGAAAGCCACGGCUAACUACGUG
Molecule: ribosomal RNA, 496 nt
Filed under: uncultured bacterium
Lineage: Bacteria
Description: partial 16S ribosomal RNA
Rfam family: Bacterial small subunit ribosomal RNA
Source: RNAcentral